CCUGUGGGCACGUGUGGCUUGUGCUGCCAGCUGCAAGCAAGGAUAGCUCUUCUCCUGCGUUUGAACUUGUGUUCUUUAUUUACCUGAAGUUGUCUGGCAUGCUGAUUGUUACUGCUGUUUCAUACAGAUCCCACGCUGAAUCGGUUAAACAGUUCACAUUGUAAGCGGGAAUUCAGGAACAGGCAUGCUUCUGGCUAGAAAGAGCAGCAGCGUGGAUCUGAACGGGUGGCUGUGCGCCAGCGCAGUGCUGGCCAGGGUCUGCUGCCCUGCCCUGUGCCUUAGCAGCCCUGGGUCCCAGUCUAUACGAGGAUCGAUGUGCCAUGUGGAGCCCAGAGUUGCUGGUCCCAGACGUUGCUUGUCUGGAAAGCGGGGAUUUCUAAGGCUUUCCUGAGCCACUGGGCUGGCCCCGACGGUGCAUUCCCAGCAUCCUGCCACUGAGCUUAGCGCGGAGCGGAAAGGGCCGCUGCAAUGCCAGGAGCCAGAAGGCAGUGCUGAAGGGCAGGCAGAGAGCCUGGGCUGGAUGUUCUCAGUUCCCUUCAGGUCACUGG
This is a long non-coding RNA of Falco peregrinus (peregrine falcon), 548 nucleotides long. RefSeq lists it as uncharacterized. The transcript has 2 exons. Lineage: Eukaryota; Metazoa; Chordata; Aves; Falconiformes; Falconidae. The record is from RefSeq and is a predicted model, not a curated record.